RNAcentral lists this ribosomal RNA (612 nucleotides) under Podosphaera xanthii. RNAcentral's name for it is "eukaryotic LSU rRNA". It matches the Rfam family "Eukaryotic large subunit ribosomal RNA", at positions 38 to 667 of the family's 3401-position model. The record is from RNAcentral. Lineage: Eukaryota; Fungi; Ascomycota; Leotiomycetes; Helotiales; Erysiphaceae.
GCAUAUCAAUAAGCGGAGGAAAAGAAACCAACAGGGAUUACCUCAGUAACGGCGAGUGAAGCGGUAACAGCUCAAAUUUGAAAUCUGGCUCCUCGGGGCCCGAAUUGUAAUUUGUAGAAGAUGCUUUGGGUCUGGGCCUGGCCUAAGUUCCUUGGAACAGGACGUCGUAGAGGGUGAGAAUCCCGUAUGCGGCUGGCGCCCGUGCCCGUGUAAAGCUCUUUCAACGAGUCGAGUUGUUUGGGAAUGCAGCUCUAAAUGGGUGGUAAAUUUCAUCUAAAGCUAAAUAUUGGCCAGAGACCGAUAGCGCACAAGUAGAGUGAUCGAAAGAUGAAAAGCACUUUGGAAAGAGAGUUAAACAGUACGUGAAAUUGUUGAAAGGGAAGCGCUGGCAACCAGACUUGGGCGCUGUUGAUCCGCUAGGGUUCUCUCUAGGGCACUCGGCAGUGCGCAGGCCAGCAUCGGUUUGGGGGGUUGGAGAAUGGCUGGUGGAAUGUGGCUGUCUUUGGGCAGUGUUAUAGCCACCGGUGGCAUGCAGCCUCCCCGGACCGAGGACCGCGCUUCGGCUAGGAUGCUGGCGUAAUGGUUGUCAGCGACCCGUCUGAAACACGGACC